Molecule: transfer RNA, 75 nt
Filed under: Kineosporia succinea
Lineage: Bacteria; Bacillati; Actinomycetota; Actinomycetes; Kineosporiales; Kineosporiaceae
Also listed under: 14 other names
Description: tRNA-Pro
Rfam family: tRNA
About the family: Transfer RNA (tRNA) molecules are approximately 80 nucleotides in length.
Source: RNAcentral
CGGGCUGUAGCGCAGCUUGGUAGCGCACCUGACUGGGGGUCAGGGGGUCGCAGGUUCAAAUCCUGUCAGCCCGAC